ACACGGCGCAGCCUCGGGACCGCGGACUGAAGGAGGACACGCGGAGAAACACGCGAGGCGCCGCGUUCCUGGCGGAGCCACACGGAUACAAAAACGCGCAGGACCUCUCAUCGUCAGACCGCCGUGGACACGCAGCCUCGGCAGAUGGCGUGGGAGGUACGCAUCUGAUCCGCGCGCUCACCUGUUUGUCAAAGCGAGGCUGCACAGAACUCGUGUCCUGCACAUCUGGAGGCUGGAAGAUGCUGCAGCUGCUCGUUGCCACGUGCGGAUGUUACUCAGUCUCAGUGAACGAGGGGGUCGUGUGGAUGGAAAGUGAGUAUUUGGGGGUUUGUGUGUUUGGAGGGUCUUUGGUUAGUGGCCACAGGUCACAGGCUUGUCCUAAUGAACGCAGCCCACUCUCAGCCUGCGGAUCCACUGGCCUAGAUCUAGACUUGUUUCAGGGUGAGGUUUUAUUACCAGCACUUAUUCAAUCGCGUUUAAUUCAGGUCCAGUGUCAAAAAUUUGAAAACGACACAAAGUAAUGGUGGGCUGUUGUCCAUCAGGCCUGUUCUACUCAGACCCACCAACCUUCAAUAGGCCGUCUUGCUUUUCUAAAAUUUAUAGUAAACACAGUAUAAACACAACUCGUGUCUGUGAAGUGGAUUUCCUUCAAACGAAGCUGUGCAAUCGGACUUUCACCCUUGAAGAAGUGGCGAAUGACUUGUUAGUGUAUCUGUUUCCCAAUUAAGACUAAUGACGUCAGACGCAGUGACAAAGACAAGCGUGAGUUCAUCAUGAGGUUAUUUUGUUGAUUAUAACAUAAAUAAUAAAAACUGCGCAGCUCGUAUAAAACAAUGUCUACACUAGAAUGACCAGUAGUGGGACAUUACAAAUUAGUAUGAGACUGAUAAAUAAUGACAUGUUCAAUAAAUAGUUCAAUAUUUCUAAUAGAGACCUACAUUCAGUAGAGAAAUGCAGACAUUUAAUGGUAAUUUGAACGUGAUAAUCACAAAUAAAAUAACUUCGGCUUUAAAGAAGAACAUCUUAUUUAGUAAUUAUUAAAAUCUGCAUGUUUUUCAUGGCCUUGUUAUGUUAUUAAGUCACUGUGGGUGGAAAAGGAGCAAUCAAACAAUAAGAUGUGGUGAUGUGCACUGCAACAUGUGGAUCUCACCACAGCUCACUAUGAAAGUUUUCAGAUCUUAUAGUGUAAGUUACAAAAAUUAUUCAUAUUAGUUAGGCUCUACUAAUAAUAAUGUCAUGUUGUUCUUUGUUCCUAGGAAGCCUCAGACUUUCAUUUUGCUCUUGUAGCCAAGGAGCCUGUUCCUUUCUUUGGUUAUCUAGCUGUAUGAGUGUUCAUCAUCUGUCAUAAAGCUAGAUAACCGAAAGUAGGAAUGGCCUCCAGACUCAUCGCGUCCUGAACGAACUAAACAUGAAGAGGAACACACCCAGAGGAGGACGGGGCAUGUUCAGGGACGGACUGGACCGAUGCCGACGCCGGCGGCUGUGGAGGCUGCGUCACUGCCAGUCACAGAUUCAGACUGAGAAGUUUGUGUUUGACUCGUCACAAACUGUGCACAUACAAAGGACAGUGAUUUGAAAUGAUUUAGGAUUUCUGUAAUAUAUAGUUGUGCUUCACUGUUACCACUUGGGCUCUGGGUUAUUUGUGUUGUAUUUGUGUUGUUACAACAGCUAAUUGUGUCAGUGUGCAGAAUAAAAUUAUUAUUAUUAAAAUAAUCUAUACUCAAUAAAAUAAUUAACCAGGAAA
Molecule: long non-coding RNA, 1744 nt
Organism: Betta splendens (Siamese fighting fish)
Lineage: Eukaryota; Metazoa; Chordata; Actinopteri; Anabantiformes; Osphronemidae
Exons: 2
Source: RefSeq, a predicted model, not a curated record